GACGAACGCUGGCGGCGUGCUUAACACAUGCAAGUCGAACGGAAAGGCCCUGCUUUUGUGGGGUGCUCGAGUGGCGAACGGGUGAGUAACCCGUGAGUAACCUGCCCUUGACUUUGGGCUAACUUUAGGACACUGGGGCUAAUACCGGAUAGGAGCUCCUGCUGCAUGGUGGGGGUUGGAAAGUUUCGGCGGUUGGGGAUGGACUCGCGGCUUAUCAGCUUGUUGGUGGGGUAGUGGCUUACCAAGGCUUUGACGGGUAGCCGGCCUGAGCGGGGGACCGGCCACAUUGGGACGGAGAUAAGGCGCAGACUCCUACGGGAGGCAGCAGUGGGGAAUAUUGCACAAUGGGCGGAAGCCGGAUGCAGCAACGCCGCGUGGGGGAGGACGGCCUUCGGGUUGUAAACCGCUUUCGCCUGUGACGAAGCGUGAGUGACGGUAAUGGGUAAAGAAGCACCGGCUAACUACGUG
RNAcentral lists this ribosomal RNA (468 nucleotides) under uncultured bacterium. RNAcentral's name for it is "partial 16S ribosomal RNA". It matches the Rfam family "Bacterial small subunit ribosomal RNA", at positions 28 to 507 of the family's 1533-position model. The record is from RNAcentral.